GAGUGGACUAGCUAACUGAAAUCGAAUCUAGCAAAACUUUGUUUGGCUAGAUUCGAUAUGUAAGGCAAAAAUAAUGAUGAAACCUUACUAUUAGUGUCGCCCAAAUCUAGUGCCAGAAGACUCGGUAAGGCCAGAGACGCGAACGUUAGUCGUCAUUAUCAGGCGUAAAGGGUUCGUAGGCGGCUUUAAGAUUUCUUUUUUUAAAAAAUAGCACUCUUCUCAUUUAAAUUUNGGUUUAAAUUAAUAAAAAUUAUAUAAAAAUAAGAAGGUUAAAGAGAGAAACAAUUAAAGCUAGAAUCAUAAAGAGGUCAUAUUGAAUAAUUCUAAGACUAUAAGGGCUGAUAUCUUAAGAUACUUGGAGGAAUAUUAAAGGGCGAAGGCUUUUUUUCCAUAAAUGAUUGACCUGAGGACCGAAGGGGAGGAGAGGAAUUAGGAUUAGAUACCCAACUACCCCUCCCUGUCAACGAUGAAUGGUAGUUAACCUGUAGACAAAAACAGGAGGCAAAGCUAACGCGAUAACCAUUCCGCCAUGCGAGUACGACUGCAAAGUUGAAANCCAAAAAAUUAGUCGGUUUCGAAGCACUACGAAGUGNAGCAU
This 598-nucleotide ribosomal RNA is filed under the name Stereum hirsutum. Its description in RNAcentral is "partial small subunit ribosomal RNA". It matches the Rfam family "Bacterial small subunit ribosomal RNA", at positions 381 to 940 of the family's 1533-position model. The record is from RNAcentral. Lineage: Eukaryota; Fungi; Basidiomycota; Agaricomycetes; Russulales; Stereaceae.